CUUUGAAACUAUGUUUAGAAAGGGGCUAUACAAAUAAAGAUUAUUAUUAUUAUCAAUAAUUAAAUGUGAUUUUAACAGUACAGCUGGUGUGUUUCUUUAUCCCAAACUCUAAAUGCCCAUUUAUUUUUCUUUAACAACAGAAAAGAGAUUAACAUAUAACUUCUGCCAUCUCUAGCAGUGUUAAACACAGCAGGAACAGUUCUGGUUAACAAACACAGCAUAACAUGAAUUUGAGCCAAAAUGGCGACGCUACUUAACACAGAAUAACAUAUGCGUUCCAAAUCGUAUACUUUUUCUUUUUCCUUCAGUUCGUACUGCAGCUGCCCUUAUAAAUUAGUAGUUGCAUGCAGUAUGCAUACAAUUCAUCAUAACAUUGCACAAACUUUGCCCCUCUUGCUCAUAUAUUCACUGCUCAGAGGAAUGCAACCUGCUGUGCGCUCCAAUACUCAUACUACCAUACUAUUUAGUAUGCCUUUAACGAUUUGGUAUAUCCCAAAACAUAGCAUGUCAAAUGCAGUAUUUUUUACUGGCUAUUCUGACCCACAAUCCUCUGCACAAAAAAAGACUUAUUUAACAGAACAUGAAUAUUAUGAAGAUGUCUGUGAAACCAUCACAAUGACUUUUUAUCAGCAAAGAAAGCAAACAAUGCAAAGCAAUAAGAAACGAGCUGUGCA
Molecule: long non-coding RNA, 674 nt
Organism: Sebastes umbrosus (honeycomb rockfish)
Lineage: Eukaryota; Metazoa; Chordata; Actinopteri; Perciformes; Sebastidae
Exons: 2
Source: RefSeq, a predicted model, not a curated record